RNAcentral lists this ribosomal RNA (497 nucleotides) under uncultured bacterium. RNAcentral describes it as "partial 16S ribosomal RNA". It matches the Rfam family "Bacterial small subunit ribosomal RNA", at positions 28 to 507 of the family's 1533-position model. The record is from RNAcentral.
GAUGAACGCUGGCGGCGUGCCUAAUACAUGCAAGUCGAGCGAACGGACGAGAAUCUUGCUUCUCUGAUGUUAGCGGCGGACGGGUGAGUAACACGUGGAUAACCUACCUAUAAGACUGGGAUAACUUCGGGAAACCGGAGCUAAUACCGGAUAAUAUUUUGAACCGCAUGGUUCAAAAGUGAAUGACGGUCUUGCUGUCACUUAUAGAUGGAUCCGCGCUGCAUUAGCUAGUUGGUAAGGUAACGGCUUACCAAGGAAACGAUGCAUAGCCGACCUGAGAGGGUGAUCGGCCACACUGGAACUGAGACACGGUCCAGACUCCUACGGGAGGCAGCAGUAGGGAAUCUUCCGCAAUGGGCGAAAGCCUGACGGAGCAACGCCGCGUGAGUGAUGAAGGUCUUCGGAUCGUAAAACUCUGUUAUUAGGGAAGAACAUAUGUGUAAGUAACUGUGCACAUCUUGACGGUACCUAAUCAGAAAGCCACGGCUAACUACGUG